Molecule: ribosomal RNA, 253 nt
Filed under: uncultured bacterium
Lineage: Bacteria
Description: partial 16S ribosomal RNA
Rfam family: Bacterial small subunit ribosomal RNA
Source: RNAcentral
GACGGAGGAUGCAAGUGUUAUCCGGAAUCACUGGGCGUAAAGCGUCUGUAGGUGGUUUAAAAAGUCCACUGUUAAAAAUUGAAGCUUAACUUCAAAGAUGCCGUGGAAACUUUUAAACUUGAGUAUGGUAGGGGUAGAGGGAAUUUCCAGUGGAGCGGUGAAAUGCGUAGAUAUUGGAAAGACCACCAAUGGCGAAGGCACUCUACUGGGCCAUUACUGACACUGAGAGACGAAAGCUAGGGGAGCAAACAGG